UCCUUGGAGGUCCAGUGGUUAAGACUCUAUGCUUCCAAUGCAGGGGGCACAGGUUUGAUUCCUGGUCAGGGAA
RNAcentral lists this transfer RNA (73 nucleotides) under Bos taurus (domestic cattle). It matches the Rfam family "tRNA". From Rfam's summary of the family: Transfer RNA (tRNA) molecules are approximately 80 nucleotides in length. RNAcentral also lists the same sequence under 4 other names. The record is from Rfam by way of RNAcentral. Lineage: Eukaryota; Metazoa; Chordata; Mammalia; Artiodactyla; Bovidae.